Molecule: ribosomal RNA, 482 nt
Filed under: uncultured bacterium
Lineage: Bacteria
Description: partial 16S ribosomal RNA
Rfam family: Bacterial small subunit ribosomal RNA
Source: RNAcentral
AUUGAACGCUGGCGGCAUGCCUUACACAUGCAAGUCGAACGGUAACAGGUCUUCGGAUGCUGACGAGUGGCGAACGGGGGAGUAAUACAUCGGAACGUGCCCGAUCGUGGGGGAUAACGCAGCGAAAGCUGUGCUAAUACCGCACACGAUCUACGGAUGAAAGCAGGGGACCGCAAGGCCUUGCGCGAACGCAGCGGCCGAUGGCAGAUUAGGUAGUUGGUGGGAUAAAAGCUUACCAAGCCGACGAUCUGUAGCUGGUCUGAGAGGACGAGCAGCCACACUGGGACUGAGACACGGCCCAGACUCCUACGGGAGGCAGCAGUGGGGAAUUUUGGACAAUGGGCGAAAGCCUGAUCCAGCCAUGCCGCGUGCAGGAUGAAGGCCUUCGGGUUGUAAACUGCUUUUGUACGGAACGAAAAGACUCUGGUUAAUACCUGGGGUCCAUGACGGUACCGUAAGAAUAAGCACCGGCUAACUACGUG